AUUGAACGCUGGCGGCAGGCCUAACACAUGCAAGUCGAGCGGAUGAAGGGAGCCUGCUCCUGGAUUCAGCGGCGGACGGGUGAGUAAGGCCUAGGAAUCUGCCUGGUAGUGGGGGAUAACGUCCGGAAACGGGCGCUAAUACCGCAUACGUCCUGAGGGAGAAAGUGGGGGAUCUUCGGACCUCACGCUAUCAGAUGAGCCUAGGUCGGAUUAGCUAGUUGGUGGGGUAAAGGCCUACAAAGGCGACGAUCCGUAACUGGUCUGAGAGGAUGAUCAGUCACACUGGCAGUGAGACACGGUCCAGACUUCUACGAGAGGCAGGAGUGGAGAAUAUUGGAAAAUGGGAGAAAGUCUGAUACAGCCAUGCCGCGUGUGAAGAAGGUCUUCGGAUUGUAAAGCACUUUAAGUUGGGAGGAAGGGCAGUAAGUUAAUACCUUGCUGUUUUGACGUUACCAACAGAAUAAGCACCGGCUAACUUCGUG
This 482-nucleotide ribosomal RNA is filed under the name uncultured bacterium. RNAcentral's name for it is "partial 16S ribosomal RNA". It matches the Rfam family "Bacterial small subunit ribosomal RNA", at positions 30 to 507 of the family's 1533-position model. The record is from RNAcentral.